CUUCAUCUCAUCCCAUAGGCAUUCUAUCAUCCACAUCAUGACAAGAAGAAGGAUCCAUACUCUGCCCUUGUCACCCUGCUCAGUGCUCUAGGAACUGGAUCACCAGGGGUUGCAACCUGACCUGGCCCACUGGCUUCUUCUGGAGCCAAUCCAUGUUAUCCUGAAGGAAGAUACUGCCAGAAGCACUUACGGAGGCAUCAUGGAACUUUUACUUUUACUAUCAUUAGACACCAGCUGUAUGCCGGACAUAAGAGAAACAAAGAUGGGUCCCAGCCUGCAGAAGCUCACAGCUUAGACAGCAUUCAGAAACAUGACAAUUGGGAAACCCAGCCAUGUGUGAUGGGCUCACACACCAGGUAUUAAGGAAGACCUGGGAGGACACCUCCCUCUGCGUGGGUCAGCAGUCCGGGGAAGUCUCUUUCAGAGGGACAAUGAGCCCAGAUCUUCAUCUUGAAGGACAAAUGGGAGCUUGUCUCAUCCAAGAAGAACACAUGUCACCCUCCUCUACUUUUACCCCUUCCCUCUCUGCACUCUGCUCUGC
Molecule: long non-coding RNA, 541 nt
Organism: Canis lupus familiaris (dog)
Lineage: Eukaryota; Metazoa; Chordata; Mammalia; Carnivora; Canidae
Exons: 3
Source: RefSeq, a predicted model, not a curated record